RNAcentral lists this long non-coding RNA (2089 nucleotides) under Homo sapiens (human). Its description in RNAcentral is "HSALNT0018518". Lineage: Eukaryota; Metazoa; Chordata; Mammalia; Primates; Hominidae. The record is from RNAcentral.
GAUCUCUGCUAUUGUUUGUUAGUGAAGGGGCUAUUCAUUCAUAAAGCUGGACCCACCCAACCGAACAAAGAGACCCUUGGUGGCUGUUCAGGUGGACUCUAAGCCAAGAAAAAGGAAUUGCUUCAUUUCCUCAAGACUAAACUUUUGAUCAGCGCUGUGCGGUCAGGCUAAGAACUUAGAUGGAAUUUUAAACAAGGCAUUGACGGCAUUUCGGAAGCCACCAUCAAACAUCCUCCAAUUAAGGAAGCAACGUAACAAGGUGAUCUCCUUCUGCUCCUGACAAACAGGCCUUAUUGCUAUUCCUUAAACAAGCUAAACAUGCAUCAGAGGCAGUGAAAGGAUGGUUACAUAACAGAAGAUCAAUCAAACAACAAAAUAUAUUAAUGAUGAUGGAUGGGUGCCAGGUUCCUCAUUGUCAGAGAAGAGAGUUACAGAUACAUGAAGGAAGAAAAGUGGAAUGAACAUUCUAUGUUGGAUUGAAGUUAGAGAUAUAAGUAUGAAUCCCUGGAUUUCAGUAUGUAUAAAAAUAAAUGUAGACAUAACAUACAUGCAUGUCUUAAUUCUGGCCUGGAAUGGCAAUUCCCCAGUGCUAAUGAGUACACCAAGUGUCCAGAAGUUGGCUCUUAAAUACUAUUCUCCACUAAAAAAUCAUCAGGACUACUUAUAAAAAUGGCUGAUUCCAGGGUGGUACAGGGAGGGUACAAGAUCACCCUGGAACAUUUUCUUGUGCCACUGAGAAAGAAAAUACUUAAAAAAUGAUGGAGGUAUGUCAAAGGGACACAGAAGCCAAUCUGAAGGAAGUUUCCAUUGGCCCCAAAUGGGGACUAUUUUAACAAGAAAAUAAACACUGCUUGGAACAUAAAUUAAUAAACUGAAUUUUGGUGAAACUUUAUAUAGUUUCAAAGUACCACUUUACAAAAUACUUAUUAAUUAUAAAGGGAAAAAGAGUAACUGUAAAGUGGAGAAACCUGGCAGACAUCACGUUAAUCAAGUAAUCAGAGUUAAAUGGAACAAAUCUAAGUUCUCUGCCCUCUGAUAGGAUGAGACGGGAAGAACAAAGCAUUACUUCCUGACAAGGAUUCAGUACCUGAACUCAUGAGGAUCCCUCAGACAAAUCCAAAUUGAAGAACAUUCUACAAAAUAACUUGCCAGUAAUUCUCAAAAAUAUCAAGGUCUUGGAGGUCAAGAAAGACUGAGGAAUUGUUUGGUACUGAAGGAGUCUAAGGAGAUGUUACAAGUAAAUUUAGCAGGUGAUUCUAUGCUGCUUCCAUUGUCUGUAAAGGAGAUUUUAAGUGUUAAUUUUCUGAUUUUGAUGGUUGUACUGUGGUUAUAAAUUCAUAAUCUAUUCCAAGUUAUGGGGCAAGUUAGCAACUUGACUCUCAAAUGAUAUAAAGAAAAUUUCUUUGUACUGGAUUUGCAACUUUUCUCUGAGUUUCAGAUGGUAUCAGAAUAAAAUGAUGGAUACAAAGAAAAAGAAUACAACUCUUAUAAUUCUGUAGGUCAGGUAUUCAAGUGGGACUCAGCUGAGCAGUUUUUGUGCUCUGUGUAGCAAAGGUUUGGUCACUCACUCGGCUGCAUUUAGCAAGAUGCUGAGCUAGAAGUUCCAAGAAGUCUUCACUCGCUGUCUGGCUCCUCUCUGCUCCUCCAUGUGUACCACCCUCUUCCCCUGCAUGGAGUGUCAUCAUUCAGGAGUCCAGCCCAAGAUUCUUUUGGUCUGAUGGCUGGAUUUCCAGAGCCACAGAGAAGACAGCCAGGACUCUUAGUCUUUUCACCUGGAUGGUGGUUACACAGGAGUGCUCGCUUUGUAAAAAAUUAAUCAGGCCAUAUAUUUAAGCUUUUGUGUACCUUAUAGCAUAUAAAAUACUUCAAUAAAAAAAGUAAAAAUAAAUUAUAGUUACUGUUUUUCUAAUUGCACAUCCUCCUUUUUCACUUUUCUACUUAACACCAUGUAAUGGGGCAGAUUCUUCCUCGGAUGAAGCCAAGAUGGUAACAUAAGCAUGGGCAUUUGAUCACCUCCCUAUCCAACCCCCUACAGACACAGCCUAGGCAAAUAUAAAAUGGGUAAGUUUUGACUUAUUCUAGAAAAUAA